Molecule: ribosomal RNA, 570 nt
Filed under: Tuber regianum
Lineage: Eukaryota; Fungi; Ascomycota; Pezizomycetes; Pezizales; Tuberaceae
Description: eukaryotic LSU rRNA
Rfam family: Eukaryotic large subunit ribosomal RNA
Source: RNAcentral
AUGCCUCAGUAACGGCGAGUGAAGCGGCAAGAGCUCAAAUUUGAAAUCUGGCNCCCCCGGCGUCCGAGUUGUAAUUUGGAGAGGCAUCUUCAGGAGUGGGGCGCGGCCUAUGUUCCUUGGGACAGGACGUCAGAGAGGGUGAGAAUCCCGUUUGCGGCCGAAUGUCCACUCCUGCACGAAGCGCCUUCUACGAGUCGAGUUGUUUGGGAAUGCAGCUCAAAGUGGGUGGUAAAUUUCAUCUAAAGCUAAACACUGGCGAGAGACCGAUAGCGCACAAGUAGAGUGAUCGAAAGAUGAAAAGCACUUUGAAAAUAGAGUCAAACAGCACGUGAAAUUGUUGAAAGGGAAGCGCUGGAGACCAGACUCGGCCAUCGACAAACAAGCGUCCUUCUGGGCGGUGCACUUGUCCUUGGCCGGGCCAGCGUCAGUUGGGACGGCGGGAUAAAGGCCAGGGGAAUGUGACUCCUCGUCCGGAGUGUUAGAGCCCCUGGCGCCAUGCCGCCCGCCCCGACUGUGGACCGCGCUUCGGCUAGGAUGCUGGCAUUAAUGGUCUUCAGCGACCCGUCUUGA